GAAGAUUAAUUUGACAUGGUAGCAAAGAUGUUUACAAAUACAAAACAUCCAGAGGAAAUUCUUCGAACAGGCACAAUCUUAGAAAAACAAUAAAAUUAUACACUGGCAAAGAUAACACUAGAAGUAUGGAUAAGAUCCUCAAAGUACAGAUGUCUUGAAUCACACUCUGUGACAUCCAAAGUUUCAAUUGUACAUGACCAAACAUCUAUGCCAGUUCACAGAAAUGCAUCCUUCUCAAGCAGCUUUAGGACAUCCUGCUGGUUGUUGAGUUUGGCAACAUCAAUUGGCGUCUUUCCGUCCAAGUUUUGAAGAGUUACAGCGGCUCCAUUCUCCAGCAGCAGUGCUACACACUCCUUUCUACCAUAUCCAGCAGCAUAGUGAAGAGCAGUAUUCUUGUUCUUGUCCAAUGCAUCAACCUUUGCCCCAGCUUCAACAAGGAGCUGAGCACACUUCUCCUCGCCAUAUCCACAAGCAAAAUGCAAUGCUGUCCUUCCUUCUGAAUCUUCUUCAUCUUUGUCAGCACCAGCAGCUAGUGCUGCCUUCAAGCCCUCUGCAUCACCAACACUAGCACACUGAUGAACAACAGAUUCAUCUUCAUUUGCCUCUUCCGUUUCAUCUGGCCCAGGUAUUUCAGAAGAGGUAGCACCCUCUCCUCCAGCAGCAAAACCCAUUGCUUCACCAAUCUUCUUCAGAACAUCUUGAUCGUUCCAAUACCUCAUCAUUGCAGCUGGUCCUCCGCUCUCUAUCUCUUCCAAGAUUGGUUUGAGUGAUGGGUCUUCUUUAAUGCGCGCCAUCCGUUCUUCAAGUUGCUCCUUCUGAGCAGGGUUUGACAAACUCUCAAGCAUGCCAGACAUGGAUGGAUCCUGCAUCAAUGCAUUACCAAGCCGCUCAGCCAUGGUCAUAAACUGAGGAUUUUGCAUAACCUGUUGCAUUGUAGAGUAGUAUUGUUGGCUAUCAAAGUUGGGAACACUUUCUUCCACUGCUGCACCUUGAAAGGUCUUCUGAAGCUGCUCUGCCAUCUGAUUAAAUGCAGGGUCUUUUGCAAUCUGCUCCGCUAGUUCUUUGAUACUUGGGUCAUUGAGCAGUCCAGACAUGGCUGAGAAAUCAAAGGGAUUUUGGACUCCAGCUCCAGCCGCAGCAGAUGCUGUUCUCCCCUCUCCUGAUGGUGCUUCCACGGUAGAAGACUCAGGAGAUUUUUUACUCUCAGCUGCCCCAGACUUCUCAUCUUUGGAUGCAGUCGGCAAAGCCUUCUCUCCCUCAGACAUGGCUGCAAAGAGAUAGAGAAGUGAAAAAAGAAAAAGGUGAGAUUAUUUGAGUAAAUGGGGAGAUUUGGGGUUAGAGAAAAAUCAAAAGGGUUUUUGUGUGUGACACAG
RNAcentral lists this unclassified non-coding RNA (1373 nucleotides) under Hevea brasiliensis (rubber tree). Lineage: Eukaryota; Viridiplantae; Streptophyta; Magnoliopsida; Malpighiales; Euphorbiaceae. The record is from RNAcentral.